ACGCACGCUGGCGGCGUGCUUAACACAUGCCAGUCGAACGGAAAGGCCCUGCUUUUGUGGGGUUCUCGAGUGGCGAACGGGUGAGUAACACGUGAGUAACCUGCCCUUGACUUUGGGAUAACUUCAGGAAACUGGGGCUAAUACCGGAUAUGAGCUCCUGCUGCAUGGUGGGGGUUGGAAAGUUUCGGCGGUUGGGGAUGGACUCGCGGCUUAUCAGCUUGUUGGUGGGGUAGUGGCUUACCAAGGCUUUGACGGGUAGCCGGCCUGAGAGGGUGACCGGCCACAUUGGGACUGAGAUACGGCCCAGACUCCUACGGGAGGCAGCAGUGGGGAAUAUUGCACAAUGGGCGGAAGCCUGAUGCAGCAACGCCGCGUGCGGGAUGACGGCCUUCGGGUUGUAAACCGCUUUCGCCUGUGACGAAGCGUGAGUGACGGUAAUGGGUAAAGAAGCACCGGCUAACUACGUG
Molecule: ribosomal RNA, 467 nt
Filed under: uncultured bacterium
Lineage: Bacteria
Description: partial 16S ribosomal RNA
Rfam family: Bacterial small subunit ribosomal RNA
Source: RNAcentral